GUAAAACAAUCUGUAGCUUCUGAUUGGUUCCACGAGUCUAUACGUACAUAUUUGGCCAGAAUAUGGGUGAAAUAUGAAGAGACUGUUGCUGUGAUCGUUAGCAUGCUAACAGAGGCUAUUUGAUGGUGUCAGAAAGGAAAGAAUAAGGAGAGCAGAACCUGGUUAGAACCAGACCAGGAAGCAUGCUGGUUUUGCUGGAAACAUCUGUCUUGUUGCUCAACACAGCUGCGACAUUCAGGAAAACUAUAACAACAAAACUAAGAUGCAAGACCUCUCCGGAAAUCUUCUACAAUAAUCUCAGUCUAUCAACUAACCGCCCCAAAACGGUGGAUAGAAGUAAGUUUGAGUUCGUAUCGUAUUCAAAGAUAUGGUGCAAUGACUCUCCACUCCUGUGAGGGGCACUUUUGGGAAUCUUCCACAUGUGCGAAGCCCUGAAACAGGUUUCUAAAGUCUGAAAUUGAAAAGAUAGACAGAAGACUUGGCCUUCUCAAGUUUAUGCUAAAGCAGGAUGAUAGAUGGUUGGACAGCUGGAUGGAGGUGAUUUGGCGAUUUAAGGGCCAAUUCUGGGCACUACAAUUGGUUCCUGAGCGAGUAAUACAUCAAAAGGAAUUAAAAGGUGAUUGCACUGUGUGUGUGUGUGUGUGUGUGUGUGUGUGUGUGUGUGUGCGCGCGUGUGUGUGCACAAAACAAGGAAGGAAAUGGGAUCACGCACGUGGGAGGGACGGAUUAAGAUGUGGACAAAAGACGCAAUUGUGAGAUAAAAAAACGAUAGGAAUGAGAGAGGGGGAGGUGAGUUUCAGACACACACACACGCACUUACAUCUGCGGCCCACCCCUUCUCUGUCAUUCAGCAGACCCUGGAGCUUUACCUCCUUCUAGCUGUUGGCUAGAUCAGGACAGUGAUGAUGGGGUUUCUGCUGGGUUUUUUUUACUUCUUCAGCUUUCUCGCCACCAUGAGUCGCCUAAUGACAGCCGUCACCGCCUGAAGAAACAACAAUACUCUCUGCUGGACUUUGCUGCUCCUUCUGGUACCAGCAGCAGGACGAAGCAACCUCAUCAACAAAAUAUUGUGAAAAUGAGUGUGGUUACCUGGUAACAGAUGGGAGAAACUCUGACAACACCUCAGAGGUGGGCAACACAGGCAGACAUUGCUCUGCACAGGCGUGUGUGUGUGUGUGUGUGUGUGUGUGUGUGUGGGUGGGUGGCUGGGCGGUUGCUAGUUAAGCAUCUAUCUGUCUUGAUUGCACCUUCUGCACCAGCAUCGGGACUGUACAGGUCAGCAAUUGAGGUCAGCAGGGGUGGGAGAAACAGCCAGCAGGAAAACACAGAAAACAGCCUAAUCCAUUAGGAACAGAGCUGGGGAGGUCAGGAGCACCUCAGGGCUCCAGAACACCAACACCUCCACCAGCCAGAACCACCCAGGUUCCACCCACCUUCACACAGUUG
This 1446-nucleotide long non-coding RNA is filed under the name Takifugu rubripes (torafugu). RNAcentral's name for it is "lncRNA (ENSTRUG00000031287.1)". Lineage: Eukaryota; Metazoa; Chordata; Actinopteri; Tetraodontiformes; Tetraodontidae. The record is from RNAcentral.